GAUGAACGCUGGCGGCGUGCCUAAUACAUGCAAGUCGAGCGAAUGGAUUAAGAGCUUGCUCUUAUGAAGUUAGCGGCGGACGGGUGAGUAACACGUGGGUAACCUGCCCAUAAGACUGGGAUAACUCCGGGAAACCGGGGCUAAUACCGGAUAACAUUUUGAACCGCAUGGUUCGAAAUUGAAAGGCGGCUUGGGCUGUCACUUAUGGAUGGACCCGCGUCGCAUUAGCUAGUUGGUGAGGUAACGGCUCACCAAGGCAACGAUGCGUAGCCGACCUGAGGGGCUGAUCGGCCACACUGGGACUGGGACACGGCCCAGACUCCUACGGGAGGCAGCAGUAGGGAAUCCUCCGCAAUGGACGAAAGUCUGACGGAGCAACGCCGCGUGAGUGAUGAAGGCUUUCGGGUCGUAAAACUCUGUUGUUAGGGAAGAACAAGUGCUAGUUGAAUAAGCUGGCACCUUGACGGUACCUAACCAGAAAGCCACGGCUAACUACGUGCCAGCCGCCGCGGUAA
This 515-nucleotide ribosomal RNA is filed under the name uncultured bacterium. RNAcentral's name for it is "partial 16S ribosomal RNA". It matches the Rfam family "Bacterial small subunit ribosomal RNA", at positions 28 to 523 of the family's 1533-position model. The record is from RNAcentral.